Molecule: ribosomal RNA, 301 nt
Filed under: uncultured bacterium
Lineage: Bacteria
Description: partial 16S ribosomal RNA
Rfam family: Bacterial small subunit ribosomal RNA
Source: RNAcentral
CAGCAGCCACGGUAAUACGUAGGGUGCAAGCGUUAAUCGGAAUUACUGGGCGUAAAGCGUGCGCAGGCGGUUUGUUAAGACAGAUGUGAAAUCCCCGGGCUCAACCUGGGAACUGCAUUUGUGACUGUAUAGCUAGAGUACGGCAGAGGGGGAUGGAAUUCCGCGUGUAGCAGUGAAAUGCGUAGAUAUGCGGAGGAACACCGAUGGCGAAGGCAAUCCCCUGGGCCUGUACUGACGCUCAUGCACGAAAGCGUGGGGAGCAAACAGGAUUAGAUACCCCAGUAGUCCCUGUCUCUUAUAC